This 180-nucleotide ribosomal RNA is filed under the name uncultured bacterium. RNAcentral describes it as "partial 16S ribosomal RNA". It matches the Rfam family "Bacterial small subunit ribosomal RNA", at positions 338 to 509 of the family's 1533-position model. The record is from RNAcentral.
CCUACGGGAGGCAGCAGUGGGGAAUUUUGGACAAUGGGGGCAACCCUGAUCCAGCCAUGCCGCGUGAGUGAAGAAGGCCUUCGGGUUGUAAAGCUCUUUCAGCCGGGAAGAAAUUGCACGCUCUAACAUAGCGUGUGGAUGACGGUACCGGACCAAGAACGCACCGGCUAACUACGUGCC